ACUCUUAAUUGGGGCCGGGAAUGAACGAACAUACGGAAAAGAGCUGUCCUUUUAAUAUAGGCGAAUUUGGUGAGCAAGUGCAAAUACUUGUAUAUUUAAAUUAGACGAGAAGACCCUUGAAGCUUUAGAAAAUUCUUUUGUUGGGGCGACAGAACUGCAUUAAACCAGUUUGCUAAUACCCGAAGGCUAGCAUGUGCGUUGAAGCUACUCGAGGGAUAACAGCAUAAUUUUUAAAAGUUUGUGACCUCGAUGUUGGACUAGGUACCUUAAGNCCCAGAAGGACUUAAAGGUUGCUCUGUUCGAGCAAUCUCACCUACA
RNAcentral lists this ribosomal RNA (318 nucleotides) under Chilostoma fuchsiana. RNAcentral describes it as "partial 16S ribosomal RNA". It matches the Rfam family "Archaeal large subunit ribosomal RNA", at positions 2049 to 2668 of the family's 2987-position model. The record is from RNAcentral. Lineage: Eukaryota; Metazoa; Mollusca; Gastropoda; Stylommatophora; Helicidae.